AUGGAGUUAGGACGAGUAAUUAGGUUAAUGAAGAAUCUGAACCAAUUUCAUGGAAAGUUGACUAUAAAUAAUGUUUGGGUCCUAAGUAAGGAAUAUGCAGCAGAAUCUGAACUGAAGAAUAAGAAGUAUCUAGAAGAGUUGUCACUGAGGAUGGGUUCAUCGAUGCCAGGCACCUUAGAGUACCGGAUCAUCCAGAACAAACAAGUCCUUGAAGUUUUGCAACCUCCUAUCAGUGUAAAGUCUCUGUAUCUUGAGGAUUAUGGCAGUGCCUCGCUCCCAAGCUGGUUUCUGCCACACAACUUGCCAAGCUUAAAAUUGCUUACUUAUGUAUGCUGUGUUCGACUUGGGAGCAUAUCAUCUCCCUCGACGUCAGCGUCAGUACCAACUGAAAGGUUUGUGGAUUUUCAUUCCCUUGAAGAACUGAAAAUGGAUUACAGUUCAAACAUCAGCACCCGAAGAUUGGUAUCACCGUCCCUUAAGAAGCUCGAUCUAUCGAAUUCUGGUAUCUUUUGCAGUAUUGACUGCUUCUCCCUCACCAACUUUAAUUUAACAUGUCCGUAUGUCACAUCCAUCCAACUACAAAUGUGGAGCCUUCCGUCUCUACGGAGGUUGAGCAUUAUCUGCUGUUCUCUUGCAUAUAUUGAAGGAAACACUAGAACAUUCCCGUCCCUUAAUGUGCUAAAGGUUUCAUCCUGUCGUGAAUUGUUAACCCUUGAUGGCAUCCUAACGCAAGAAUGUCUACCCGCUAUUGAGGAAAUUGACAUCAGGCAUUGCCCCAAGCUACUGUCUCUGCCCAUUGCAUAUUUUCCAAAUCUGAAACAUCUGGUGGUUGAUGAGUGCCCAAGUCUCAACUGGCAGGGGGGAUUGGUGUUACCAUCCUCGCUCCAAAAGCUCGGCUUAACACAAUGUGGAGAUAUCUCACCAUAUGUCCCCGGCUGCCUAGCUACUGGGCCUCACAUCACUUGUCUCACUGAGCAUUGGUGGCCAAGGUAUAACAUCCAUUCCAGGCGACAUUUGGCAUAG
This 1023-nucleotide ribosomal RNA is filed under the name Triticum aestivum (bread wheat). RNAcentral describes it as "partial small subunit ribosomal RNA". The record is from RNAcentral. Lineage: Eukaryota; Viridiplantae; Streptophyta; Magnoliopsida; Poales; Poaceae.